RNAcentral lists this transfer RNA (66 nucleotides) under Craspedonirmus immer. RNAcentral's name for it is "tRNA-Arg". Lineage: Eukaryota; Metazoa; Arthropoda; Insecta; Psocodea; Philopteridae. The record is from RNAcentral.
GAGUGGUUAGCACAAUUAAGUGCUUGUAAUUUCGGCUUACAAUAGUCCUCUUGAGGGGACCACUUU